Molecule: RNA transcript, 1925 nt
Organism: Arachis duranensis
Lineage: Eukaryota; Viridiplantae; Streptophyta; Magnoliopsida; Fabales; Fabaceae
Gene name: cytochrome b5 domain-containing protein RLF
Exons: 7
Source: RefSeq, a predicted model, not a curated record
UUUAGAAUAAAAAUUAAAAAUUAUGAAUAAUCCAAAAUCCCUAACCCCAACCCUAACACAAUCUCCCCAAUUUCAAAAUACUGAUGCGCACAUUCUACGUUUCUCUCUGCUCCGACGAGUUCUGCUCUACUCCACCGUGUUCUUCUGCUCGUGCCGUGUUAUUCUGCUAGCUCUGCUUCGUCGUGUUCUUCUACUUGCGCCGAGUUCUGCUCUACUCCGCCGUGUUCUUCUACUCGCGUCGAGUUCUUCUUUGCUCCGCCGUAUUUUUCUGCUCGCGCCGAGGUUUUCUCUGCUCCGCUAUGUUCUUUUGCUCGCACCUUGUUCUUCGUGUUGUUGUUUUGUUAAGCAAAUUGAGAUUAAGCCUUGCUUCAUGAAUCGUUUGAUUUUAAUUAUAAUUAGUUUGGCCUUUCUGUCACUGCUCGCCUUGUUGUGCUCUCUUCGUGUUCCUCCCUACUUGCGGUUCAUCGUGCUAGUCAAGUUCUUCUCUUCACCUUGUUUUGCUUGCCGUUCGUCUUUGAUCUCUUCGAAUUUGCCGACGUUCUUCUGCUAGUGUUCAUCACCGCCGAUCAUUGUUCUGCAGUUUCUGCUUCAUCGACACCUUCGCUUCACUCUUGCGCCACCUCAGCAUCGAGCGUGGUGCACUGCCGCCACACCGACUACAAACCCGUACCACCUGUGGAAGGAGAAGGAAGAGGAGAUUUUGAGGAAUAUUGAGCCUAUGGUUACACGAACCAAAGAUAUUCUUCACUCUCGAAGAGAUCCUCAACAGUUUUGAUUUGAAGUUCACGAGAGAGGCGCUCAUGCACGUGACCAUCUUUUGAUAUGUUUACCAAUUGCCAUAUUUCGUACUUAGGUGAUGGAGGAUAUCGGAUCCCUAGCAGCAUAGCGUGCCUUCUCAGCUGCCAAAGCAUAAAUAUAUCAUGAUAAACAUGGGUUCAAAAGUGAAUGCUAUUAAGAUACCAUCAGAAAUACAUAAUGGAAUUGCUUACCAGGAUCACUAAGCUCAUCAAGAUCAGCCAAUGAGUGACCUCUAAAUCUAUAGGUCUCACAUUCCACCAAAGUUGGUCCUUCUCCUCUUCUGGCUCUUUCAAUUGCCUCCUUUGCGACUUCCCUGACCUUCAAAACAUCCAUUCCAUCUACAUGAACCCCUGCCAUUCCAAAUGCUGGUCCUUUCUUCCAUAUCUCAGGAUCUGAAGUUGCCCUCAGAUGUGACAUCCCAAUAGCCCACAAAUUAUUCUCAUCUCUGUUUUAGGAGAUUGAUAACAAAAUAUUUGCAGAUCUUUGGUGAACAUUAAGUGUAAAUUAUGCAUAUAUAGCAAAUUGUUGCGACAUGACCUUGUUAGUUCGCAGGAGGGUGUUGUAACAAAGAAACUUGCUUCGGAUAUUGCUGAUAUUUCCAUAAAAGAAGAAUCCUCAAGUUCUCCCACAACUAGUAGUAAUCAAGAUGGUGGUUUCUUGUGGAAGGAUGAUUUUGCAAAUAAUGUGGACUCUAUAAAGGAGGACAAAGUUGGUUUUUUGUCUUUCACUGUAACCAGUGUGACUUCACGUCAGCUGAAUGAAUUGAACAAGAAAUCAGUUAUGAGUGAUGGGAUGAAUUCGAUUCAGAGGUCUCCACAACUGAAGAGUCCUGUUGCAAAGCUGGCAGCUCGGACCAAAGUUCCUUUUGAAAAAGGAUAUAGUCAAAUGGAUUGGCUUAAUCUUAAUCGGACACAUCUUGACCUUAUUUAGUAUAUGGGACAAGUCAAGCAUGGAUAUAAAAUAUGCAAGUAGAUUGACAUCUUUUUGAUAAAUAUUAAUUACUACUUUGUUAUGACAAUUAUUGUUAGACAAGAAUUUUAUUAUUUUGUUGAGAAUUAUUGAUGAACAUGUAUUUGAAAUACUAAUUGAACUUUUCAAUAUCUAUUUUAAUUAGAAUUUUAUUAUUA